Molecule: long non-coding RNA, 6694 nt
Organism: Ictalurus punctatus (channel catfish)
Lineage: Eukaryota; Metazoa; Chordata; Actinopteri; Siluriformes; Ictaluridae
Source: Ensembl
UAGCGAGUAGUGUUAGCGACAAGCUAGCCAGUGGACAAUAGCGAGUAGUGUUAGCGACAAGCUAGCCAGUGGACAAUAGCGAGUAGUGUUAGCGACAAGCUAGCCAGUGGACAAUAACGAGUAGUGUUAGCGACAAGCUAGCCAGUGGACAAUAGCGAGUAGUGUUAGCGACAAGCUAGCCAGUGGACAAUAUCGAGUAGUGUUAGCGACAAGCUAGCCAGUGGACAAUAUCGAGUAGUGUUAGCGACAAGCUAGCCAGUGGCCAAUAGCGAGUAGUGUUAGCGACAAGCUAGCCAGUGGCCAAUAGCGAGUAGUGUUAGCGACAAGCUAGCCAGUGGCCAAUAUUGAGUAGUGUUAGCGACAAGCUAGCCAGUGGCCAAUAUCGAGUAGUGCUAGCGACAAGCUAGCCAGUGGCCAAUAUCGAGUAGUGUUAGCGACAAGCUAGCCAGUGGCCAAUAUCGAGUAGUGUUAGCGACAAGCUAGCCAGUGGACAAUAUCGAGUAGUGCUAGCGACAAGCUAGCCAGUGGACAAUAACGAGUAGUGUUAGCAACAAAACAGCCAGCAGAUAAUAGCAAGUAGUAAGUUAAAGUGUGUGUGUGUUAGUUGUAUGUUCAAUGCUAUCGAUUUAACCAAGUACUGGGUGAAUAUAAAAAGUUUACACACCCCUGUUAAAAUGGCAGGUUUUUGUGAUGCAAGUUAAAUCAUGUCAGAACCUUUUUUCAACUUUAUUGUGAAAUUACAAUAUAUCGAGGAGGGGAAAUCCGUGACAGAGUGCCCCCCCGCAAGCACCCAAAAACCUCUCCCUCAGCGGUCCUGCCCUCUGGGCAAAAUGUCCACACUAAACUUAUAGUCCUGAGGCAGGCAUUGUUUUAGUAAUUGGGCAUACAUGUAAAAAGCAGGUGGUGUGUCAGCAACAGGCUCGCCAGGAUCAGAAGGCUGGGCUGGGACAUGAUCGCCAUGCUUCUUAGGCUGGAAACUGGCUUGAGAUGCUGUGUUGUCAGCCUCAGGCGUGAGCAAAGCUUGGUCAGCCAUCUCGUUAGCCUCAGGCAUGAGCAGAGCUUGAUGGGCCGUGUCGUCAGCCUCAGACAUGAGCAGAGUGUGGUGGGCCAUCUUGUCGGCCUCUGACUGGAACAUGGCUUGAUGGACCCUCUUGUCGGCCUCUGACUGGAACAUGGCUUGGUGGGCCAUCUCCUCGGCCUCUGACUGGAACAUGGCUUGAUGGACCCUCUUGUCGGCCUCUGACUGGAACAUGGCUUGAUGGACCCUCUUGUCGGCCUCUGACUGGAACAUGGCUUGGUGGGCCAUCUCCUCGGCCUCUGACUGGAACAUGGCUUGGUGGGCCAUCUCCUCGGCCUUUGACUGGAACAUGGCUUGAUGGACCCUCUUGUCGGCCUCUGACUGGAACAUGGCUUGGUGGGCCAUCUCCUCGGCCUCUGACUGGAACAUGGCUUGGUGGGCCAUCUUGUCAGCCUCCGGCAAGAACAGGACUUGGUAGGCUGUGCCGUCAAUCUCUAACUAGAACUGAACCCGAGAGGUCGCCUCUGUGACCUCUAUCAGGAUCAUGGCUGGAUAGACCAUUCAUUGGUCUCACACUGGGACUCAGGAGAUAACGUCACCACGUUGAUCACUGGCUGGAGUUCUGCAGGGAUUACAACCUCAGUUGGGAAUAUCAAUGGGAAUAUACUCAUAUGAAUUCAUAGGGGAGCCAAUAAUUGCUGCACACCUUUUUGGGAUAAACCUGUGUUGUGUUUGAUAAUUGUUUCUGUUAAAACACUUAAGAUGAAGAGGAAUCGAACCUUUCAGCAUGACAAUGACACACAGCAAUCCUCCAGAUCAACAAAGGAACGGCUUCAGCAAAACAAGUCGAAGGUAGAAUUUUACAACAAUGUUAAAAAAAGGUUCUGACGUGAUUUAUCGUGGUUUCAUUUUUUUACAUCACAAAAAACCUGCCAUUUUAACAGGGGUGUGUGGACUUUUCAGAUCCACUGUAUAAACCGAUCUAAAGCCAAUACUGUUAGAAACUCAUUAAAAGUAGAGAAGGGCACUUUACACCGGUCACAGUGUAAAUGAGCAGCCGUGUUGGUUUGACGUCACUCGGUGAACAGGGAAGGAACUCUUCGUCGAGGGGGCAUUCUUAGCAGCUGUAGACGGCGAAGUACAGGUCACGACUUCACCUCGAACGCAGUAUACGACCUCAGAUCUCGGCGCGCAUCACUAACGUCUCCCCGCAGAUGAAUCAGCAGAGCUAAAUAUGAACAGAACUUAACUCGAAAUAAAAAUCACACCCGAACACAUCCUCUCAGUCUGUAUAAAUACAUUAUCCUAAACUAAAGCGUAGGCCGAUGGUUUCUUUCUCUUCGAAAAAAACGGAACAGUUGCUUCUUUGAUAUCUGUGACCAAAAUUUGAAACGCUGUAAAUAUUCAUCUAAUAACCUUUUUUUUUUUUCUUUCUUUUUCUGGGAGUCUAGCAUUGAUGUUGCUCUCGUUGUUUAAAAACAUUCAAUGACGUCUCCGUCUGGGCUGAGACGAGAACCAUACCCAACCAAAAGAGUCUGACACAGGGGGGGAAAAAAAAUUCUCAGAUCCUGACAUUGGGCGUUCAUAACACCAUCACAAGCUAUAGGACUUCGACAGCUGAAUAGAAAGGUUCUUCAGUGCUUAUGAAUGUGUUCUAAAGGCCCAAUGUAGGCGUGUUCAAUACGUUUUUCCCGUGUCAUUCCACUUUAUUACACACAACUUUAUUUAUGGACUUUAAUGUCGUGAAUUCUUUAUAUUUCCGGAGUUCUUGAGUUGAUUCUGACGUCUGGUGAAAAUUUCAUGUGAACGACGUCAUUGGAAAUAUAUUGACUGAAAUAAAUGUUGACGCGUCCAAUGCUUAUUUCCGCCACUGUAUCUAUCUAUCUAUCUAUCCAUCUGUCUAAAGGUAGAAACGUCUUUGUAUUGACAAUCUAUUACCAAGACCAAGAUCAGAGUACUACAGAGAACUACAAUCCCGAAUAUUGCUGUUGAUAUUUUUCUGAAAGAUAUCCCAGCAUUAUCUGUGUGUGUGUUUCUUUUUGAAAGCAAUAAAAAAAAAAAAAAUACAAUAUGAAUAAUUCCUGCUCAGCUGAUUCGAUGUGCUCGGUGUUUCUCUCAGCCUCCAGAGUUCAGCUAAUCACAUUGAGAUGACUUUGAAUUGAAUUAUGCAAAUGUCUGAAUCAGACUUCCUGUUGUGCCUGUGAUGUCUUGGGUUUGUUUUCUCCACGAGCGCUGUUACACUCGAGACAGCAGGGAUACGCAAGAGAGAAAAAAACACAACACAGGCCAGAGAUGGUGAUCGGGUGCUGGGUUGGUUUUUAGAAUGACGUUUUUUUUUCAUCCUCUGUUAGCGUUAAUGCAAUGUUUGAAUGCUUUUGACUCUAAAAUGCUCCGUUUCCAGUGUUGUUAUCCUUUAAUUUCCACUAGACUGCCGUGAAUCCACGUUGACGCAUCGUAAAUGCAUCGAGAUUUGAAUUUCAUGCAGCGUGAGAGCAGGAACAAUCUCACAACUAGAACUAUUAUCGCUCCAUUCCCUAUUAAAACGUACACUACGCUGGAUUUUAAGACUAUAUCCUUUUGAAAAAUCUGUUCUUUUUUUAAAAAAAAAAAAAAAAAAAAAAAAAAAACAUCUGGAAUUUGAUUUAGUAAAGAACAUGUAACAACCCAGGGUUAUUGCGUCAUAAACUAUAAGAGCCAAUCAUGUUCCAGUAUGCAAAUGUGUUCUCUUAUUACAGCAGUUCAUUUAUCAGCAUUGUGGUGAAUGAUACACAAACAAAAUGAAGAAAUCCAGGACAUUUACUGUAUAGUACAACUCACUUGAAGUCCUGACAAUCGAACGGUGAGAAAUCUUAAGGCGAGUCUUUACAACAAAUCAUUUGUAAAGUAAAUAACGCAAAUUCUCGGCAUUAUUUCAACUCGUAGGCUACAGCGCCAAUCGCAGCAGGUUAAAAUUGAAAUAAAUGUCUUUUUUUUUUUUUUUUUUUUUUUUAGAAAUAUGAAUUCUAUCAAGAUCCAAAGCCAGGUUUUUUUUUGUUUUAUUCAACAUGUGUGCAUAUUUAAUUAGAUGAAGCCUAAUUUCCAUAAAUACAUGAAGAUUUUUAGCAAUCAGUUUGUAAAUAUUCUAUCAAGGUCAACUGAUUUAGCAGGUUUUUUUUUAAUUUUUUUAUUUUUAGCAUUUGUGAUUUUCUUAACUUUGUUUUCUAGCUUGUUUUCUUUUCUCACUUCUAAAGGCAUGACAUCGUCCAACUUCUCACCGUGUGUCAUUCAGUGAUAACUGCGAUGGAUGCGAGUGCAGUUAGACAUUUAAUAGAACAGCAGGCAGACAAAUCCAAAACGUGAAUCGAGAUCAGGAACAGGAAACAGGUAGAGGUCAGGUGAUCUACGAACAACAAUAUCGGGUUAAUCCGGAAUACACAAACGAGGGAACAGAAGACCGAGAACCGGCGAAUUACAACGUGGAACAAAAGACCCCAUUGUUCCAUUUUCAUAUGUUCCAUAAUCAUAAUUUAUUUUUCAUUCUUUAAAUGUCUAAAGCAAGAAAAAAAAAAAAGAAAGAUAUUUUUGUAUUUUCUACAUUUUCUAUAUAUUCUUUUGUAUUUAAAAAGGUGGUUGUCUAGACACUACCUACAAACACUUUAUCCGAAUGCUUCUACUAAAAAAAAAAUAUCUGGCAACCUCAGAGGCAUAAACUACAACAAGGGCAGGAUGGAAAUACUAAUAAAAACAAAGAGGAGUGAUUUUUUUAAAUGUACGUUGACUUGUAUUUAAACAAAAAAAACGUAUAAAGACAAGGUAUGUAAUGUUUUACGUUAUCAAAUACAUAGUUUUGCAUGCAACACGCACCAAAAAGCUGGGACAGGGGCGGUUUAGGACUAAAAGCCAUGCGAGAAGUUGAAAUAAGAAGGUGAUGUGAAACAGGUGAUCGUGUAAUCAUAGUAUAUAAGGAGCCUCCAAAAAAGGCCUAGAGUCUGUAAUGGACAUCCUGACAUGGGCUCGGGAAUACUUUGCUAAACCUUUGUCAGUCGACACCGUUCGCCGCUGCAUCCACAGAUGCAAGUUAAGGCUUUACUACGCAAAGCAGGAGCCAUCAAAACAUCAACAAUGUCCAGAAGCUCCGCCCACUCCUCUGGUCUCGGUCUCAUCUGGGAUGGACAGUAGCACAGUGGAGUCGUGUUUUGUGGUCCGACGAGUCAACAUGUCAGGUAGAAGAUGCCAGAAGCCGGCGUCUGUCAUGGUAUGGAGGUUGAGUCAGCGCACAUGGAAUGGGGGCGUGUCAUUGCCCAUGGCAGGGGUAACCUGCACAUCUGUGAGGGCAGCAUUCAUGCAGAAAGAUAUGUAGACAUUUUGGAGCAACAUACGCUGCCAUCCAGAGCAGGAGCGUGACUCCAGAUCUCACUUGAUCAGUAGUGUCAAUGUGGCGUCCUUUAGAGCGCCGACCAGUUUGGGUUUCAUCAGUAAUUGGUGUGUUAACCUGUAGCAUCAGAGGGGCUUUAUCAAUUCUUAUCAAAGGUAGGAAAUUCCCACGCAUGCAAACCUCUCUGUAGCGUUUCGCACCUUUACCAUCGUGAACCUCAUUAAAGUCACAGAUUAGACGAAUACAGCAGUGUACGAUAUAAAUUUCUAGAGUGUGGAACUUCGGUAAUUCCUAGAUCAGCAAGUGGUCCUGGAGUCCCUCUAUACUCUGCAUGAUAGCAUCUUUCCCACUCUAACACACUUGAUUCCAGUUAAAACUUAAUUAUGAAGCCGAUUAUGAGCAGAGCCUGUUAUGUUCCACCAGAGAAAAUGCGAAAUUUACAGUCGUGCUCUUCCGGAUGAGCGCCGAGAGCCACUGUGCCGGUUGUUGUUUUUUUUCCCACUGAGGAGAUCUGGAGUGAUUUUACACAGGGUUGUUAUUCGCAGGUUUAUAGUCGGAGGCCCUAAAGACAUCCCGGUGUCACUCUCGAGCCGGUUCCUGGACAUUUACGACCUUGCGGAGUUUAGUUUCAGCUUGGCCGCCUCGAACGAGAUGCUACCGAAGAUUAGAACGUAAACGCUGCACGACUAUAACUCUUCAGAGCCAACACGUGAUGUUCGACGGCGUUUCCGUUUCGUUUUCUCAAUGCGGUUGCGAGUUUUCCGGUCAAACGGGCAGCGGUGGCAGUGGGGUUCAUCCCUUGCUUCAUCUUUACCUAAAAAAAAGAGCGCUGCAGCAGCACUUUAGUACCGCAAUCUCAUGCUAAUACCGCCAUAACAAUAACACCGUAGAGCUCGUCAUCUCGUAGAUCGCCAACUAACCGAGCCUCAUCGUGUUCCGGCGUCUGCGUUCUGCUCUCGCGCAUUCUACAUUCGAUUUUUCAUUAACGUGACGCCGAACGUUGUUGGGAGAACGGUGAGUAAGAAAAGAAGCACUUCUGCUUCCUGUAAAAUGUCACCGUUAUCACUCACGUCUGAGACGAGUUGACAUUUUCAGCUUUUUCUUCUCUUUUUUUUUGCCUCCUCCUUCGAUUAAACGCCAUCGCAACUGCACGAGAACACGGUCGAGACAGACGCAGUAAAAAACCCUGUGCUAGGAAAUCAAUCUACCUAACAAAAAAAAAAAAAAAAAAGCAUAAAUUCUUGGAGACAUCAUCGUAAAUGCAGUCUAUAUUUGAUCAUCCUGGGUUUUAAACUCGGUUAUGCUUUUUGGGGAGAAAAAGU